UUUCCGUAGGUGAACCUGCGGAAGGAUCAUUAUUGUAAAACGGAGGAGCGUGGGUUUUCGCUGACCCGUAAGGCUGUGCACGAACGAGAGCCUUCAUACAUCUCCAUAUCACCCCUAUGCGCACCACAGCGCGGGUCCCCCUCUUUCUUGGUAGGAGGGGGGCUUACGUAUUCACAAAAAUACAACUUGCAACAAAGAAUGUCUUUUUUGUUUUUGCGAUCAAGAAAUCAACACAACUUUCAACAACGGAUCUCUUGGCUCUCGCAUCGUCGAAGAACG
Molecule: unclassified non-coding RNA, 279 nt
Filed under: plant metagenome
Description: partial contains small subunit ribosomal RNA, internal transcribed spacer 1, and 5.8S ribosomal RNA
Source: RNAcentral